UACGUAGGGCGCAAGCGUUAUCCGGAAUUAUUGGGCGUAAAGAGCGCGCAGGCGGUCGUUCAAGUCGAGUGUGAAAGCCCCCGGCUCAACUGGGGAGGGUCAUUCGAUACUGAUCGACUCGAAGGCAGGAGAGGGAAGUGGAAUUCCCGGUGUAGUGGUGAAAUGCGUAGAUAUCGGGAGGAACACCAGUGGCGAAGGCGACUUCCUGGCCUGUUCUUGACGCUGAGGCGCGAAAGCUAGGGGAGCAAACGGG
Molecule: ribosomal RNA, 253 nt
Filed under: uncultured bacterium
Lineage: Bacteria
Description: partial 16S ribosomal RNA
Rfam family: Bacterial small subunit ribosomal RNA
Source: RNAcentral